RNAcentral lists this ribosomal RNA (629 nucleotides) under uncultured bacterium. RNAcentral's name for it is "bacterial SSU rRNA". It matches the Rfam family "Bacterial small subunit ribosomal RNA", at positions 70 to 918 of the family's 1533-position model. The record is from RNAcentral.
CGCCCGCCGCGCGCGGCGGGCGGGGCGGGGGCACGGGGGGCGUACGGGAGGCAGCAGUGGGGAAUUUUGGACAAUGGGCGCAAGCCUGAUCCAGCCAUUCCGCGUGAGUGAAGAAGGCCUUCGGGUUGUAAAGCUCUUUCAACAGGAAAGAAACGAUUAUGGCUAAUACCCAUGAUUAAUGACGGUACCUGUAGAAGAAGCACCGGCUAACUACGUGCCAGCAGCCGCGGUAAUACGUAGGGUGCGAGCGUUAAUCGGAAUUACUGGGCGUAAAGCGUGCGCAGGCGGUUUAUCAAGUCUGAUGUGAAAGCCCCGGGCUUAACCUGGGAACUGCGUUGGAAACUGAUAAACUAGAGUGCGGCAGAGGGGGGUACAAUUCCACGUGUAGCAGUGAAAUGCGUAGAUAUGUGGAGGAAUACCGAUGGCGAAGGCAGCCCCCUGGGUCGACACUGACGCUCAUGCACGAAAGCGUGGGUAGCAAACAGGAUUAGAUACCCUGGUAGUCCACGCCCUAAACGAUGUCAACUAGUUGUUGGGGAGGGAGACCUCCUUAGUAACGCAGCUAACGCGUGAAGUUGACCGCCUGGGGAGUACGGUCGCAAGAUUAAAACUCGAAGGAAUUGACGGGG